GACGUAGGUGGCGAACGUUAUCCGGAUUUACUGGGCGUAAAGGGCGCGUAGGCGGUCUGUUAAGUUCGGUGUGAAAGCCCCCGGCUCACCUGGGGAACUGCGCCGGAAACCGACAGACUCGAGUACCGGAGAGGAGGGUGGAAUUCCUGGUGUAGCGGUGAAAUGCGUAGAUAUCAGGAGGAACACCGGUGGCGAAGGCGGGUCUCUGGGCCGAUACUGACGCUGAGGAGCGAAAGCGUGGGGAGCGAACAGG
RNAcentral lists this ribosomal RNA (253 nucleotides) under uncultured bacterium. RNAcentral's name for it is "partial 16S ribosomal RNA". It matches the Rfam family "Bacterial small subunit ribosomal RNA", at positions 524 to 776 of the family's 1533-position model. The record is from RNAcentral.